RNAcentral lists this ribosomal RNA (253 nucleotides) under uncultured bacterium. RNAcentral describes it as "partial 16S ribosomal RNA". It matches the Rfam family "Bacterial small subunit ribosomal RNA", at positions 524 to 776 of the family's 1533-position model. The record is from RNAcentral.
UACGUAGGGGGCUAGCGUUGUCCGGAAUCAUUGGGCGUAAAGCGCGUGUAGGCGGCCCGGUAAGUCCGCUGUGAAAGUCGGGGGCUCAACCCUCGGAUGCCGGUGGAUACUGUCGGGCUCGAGUACGGAAGAGGCGAGUGGAAUUCCUGGUGUAGCGGUGAAAUGCGCAGAUAUCAGGAAGAACACCUAUGGCGAAGGCAGCACUCUGGGACGGUACUGACGCUGAGGAGCGAAAGCGUGGGGAGCGAACAGG